CAUUAAGGAUCGGAGUUGUGUAAAAAUGGAAGUAACCUAUUUUCAUUUUGACACACCAACGCAGUCUACAAGUAAAUAGAUUUGUGAGGGAGUAGGGUUUUGCUGGUAAUUGGGUGUUCCAUAAUCCAAAGAAACUUCUUCGAUGCUUCUGCUUCCUGCCAAUUCUUUGUAUAGUUUCUUUUACUCGUGAACAUACUCCGAUUGCGUGAGAUUUUUAUAUCUAUAAAAGGCACACAAUUCCAUCUUCUUUUAAAAAAUGUGCUAUAAUCUUUCUUUUUCACAAGACAGGUAAAAUCUGUGUUUACACAACCACCCUACUUUGUAAUUUCAAAAGCAGAAGAGAAAGAUUUGAGAUAAUCAUCAAUUUCUCCAAUGUGAAUGUUAGGGAUGAUUACAAAGCGACCAGAUCAGAGAUCUUCUUCGUCAAAUGUAUGAUACCGCACGAUGAAGAGAAAUUGAGAAUCAAUUUAGUGAAUAAAUGGGUCAUACUGUUUGAAAGUAUUGGUAGUGUAAGAUGAAGACGUUGCAGAGUUAGAACAACGAUCGUGUACAUGUUAACUUUCGAGUGAUCAAUCAAUGAACGGGGCAAUUCUGAAACCAAAUCGUUGAAUUCACCACCAAGAAAAGAGCCCCAAAUCGAACUCCAAUUCUCAAUCUAGUAUCCCAUGAAUUAAUCCAUUGUAAAAAAUAUUAUAUACUUUGGGGGCAUCAAGAUUACCACAUCAAUUGUGCAUUUGUGAUAUGAGGUUUAAAGUUUCAAAGAGAGUGCAACUUUACUCAGGUUAAGGAUUUCAAUUAUGGAUCUUUCAUGCUUCAAGCCAAUGACAACUCCUUUAAAGCAAAGUUUUAGGACAUAUACUUUUAUGAACCAAGUUUAACCUAAUGUGGAUACCAAGGUCGCACCAAUAGUUAUAGGACUGACAAGGGCUAUUGGGCCUAGAACAAGCAAUAGGACCAGGUUAAUUUGGGAUACGGGUCGAGUAGUGGAUGUGAGAAUGAUUCCAUCAAAAGGUGCAACGAUCACUGAUUUAGGGAUUAUACAUAUUGAAGAAAAUAUUUUUCGUCUCCUCUUCUUCUAGAAUCUAAAGUUUCUCAUCUCCUGUUCUUCUUUUAUCUUUAAUUAUUUGUUAUUUCAAUAUUUCCAUUAUAAUUUGGUAGUUUGAUUAUUGCAAUCAAAAUCUUAAGGUUGUAAUCGUAUUCCACUGUUCUUAUCAAUAUAGUGAAAAUUUCGAUUUGUUAGAUAUACAAU
Long non-coding RNA from Solanum lycopersicum (tomato), 1249 nucleotides. RefSeq lists it as uncharacterized. The record is from RefSeq and is a predicted model, not a curated record. NCBI's taxonomy places the organism in Eukaryota, Viridiplantae, Streptophyta, Magnoliopsida, Solanales, Solanaceae.